RNAcentral lists this transfer RNA (72 nucleotides) under Bos taurus (domestic cattle). It matches the Rfam family "tRNA". From Rfam's summary of the family: Transfer RNA (tRNA) molecules are approximately 80 nucleotides in length. RNAcentral also lists the same sequence under 5 other names. The record is from Rfam by way of RNAcentral. Lineage: Eukaryota; Metazoa; Chordata; Mammalia; Artiodactyla; Bovidae.
UCCCUGGGAGUCCAGUGGUUAGGACUCAGUGCUUUCACUGCUGUGACCUAGGUUCAAUCCAUGGUCAGGGAA